Molecule: small RNA, 114 nt
Filed under: Salmonella enterica subsp. enterica serovar Kintambo
Lineage: Bacteria; Pseudomonadati; Pseudomonadota; Gammaproteobacteria; Enterobacterales; Enterobacteriaceae
Description: partial RtT sRNA
Rfam family: RtT RNA
About the family: This family represents a bacterial cis-regulatory element known as RtT RNA. The exact function of RtT is unknown although it is thought that it may be involved in changing the cellular response in relation to amino acid starvation.
Source: RNAcentral
AUAUGGAAGAUUCGAACCUGCCGCAGGUUCGGGUCGAACGCAGUGAGACAACGGAGCCGUUUACGGCGACGGCCCGUAGGGCGAGCGAAGCGAGUCAUCCUGCACGACCCACCA